Molecule: long non-coding RNA, 3824 nt
Organism: Equus caballus (horse)
Lineage: Eukaryota; Metazoa; Chordata; Mammalia; Perissodactyla; Equidae
Source: Ensembl
GGGGCUCCGAUGUGGUUGGCGAGGGGAGCAAAAUCGGCUUUCUCUGGUUGGUCCUGAGUUGGAAGCAGGGGAAAAAAUUAGGGCAGUCGUCAGUUAUUGAUCAAGUUCCAGCUGUUUGGGGCUGAUUGUUACAAAAGUGACUGUGCAGCCUCCUGGAUUGUGACCGGAGAUGGCAGCCUGGCUUCCUGCAAGUCUGACGUAGGCAGCUAGCUUCCUGGGAUGUUCACUGUAGACGAGGGGUCGGUUUCCCAGGCGGGUGGCUGCAGGUUGUGGUGACAGCUCCGUCUUUACAGAUGUCUGAUUGUUGUCUGUGUGUGUGCUCAGUCUCUCAGAAGCGGGCGAGGACCUGUAGACCUGGGCUUGGAAAGGCCUGCUAUCCAGCUGUGCUGAAGUGGGGCUAAGGAGAGACCAGUGGAGAGGCUGUGCUCCCCUGGCCCAGGGGCACGGCAGUGGGGCCAGCGCCAAACGGAAGGACCUAUGAGCUCCAGCUUCAGCCUCAGGCAGACGCAUUGCUUGUAAUUCCCAAAAGCAGGAUUUUAAAACUUACUGUGGAACAAUUGGUAUUGAACAUCAGGAUGUGUUAAGAAGGAAACGUGAUUCCUAAAUUCCGGAAGCCUCAGGAGGAAGAGGCUCGGAAUCCAGGACACAUGCGUGGCCCCCACCCGUGAGGGAAAGAUAGGAGUUCUAGCUGCCGAGACGAAACUUCUGAGUCAUUGUGGACAAAGCCGUACAGUUGAAAAGCACAGGUUUCUAUGAAGCAGCUUUUCCUUCCUGCUGUAGAUUCCAGAAAGGGAGGGAAGGCAGAUCCAACAUGGAAGAGGUCAAAGAGAAGCUGGACCAUCAGGGUGGACAUCGUCCUGGGGGCUGUGUGACUGAGAAAGCCGAUUAACCUCGACGAUGCUCGUUUUCCUGGCUCAUAAAAUGGGGGUGAUGAUAGGUAUGAUAUAACUUUAAAAAGCAACUUGGAGAUCCUGAGCAGUGCACGCCAUCCAGGAAACGACAAAUUUUUGUCCCAGUCUCGGUCCUCACGUACCACCCCUAUAAGUUUCCAGGUCCAAAUAUAUAGAUGUUUUGCCAGACAUUUAUCAUUUGUACAUUGAAAUAACAAACUACUUGCAAGUUGAUUUACCCUCCAAAAGAAGUAGCAUUUCCAACAUUGAGUCAAAGAUACUGAAGAGGCUUUAAAGUUUUCCACAUUAGCCGUCUGUGUCAAGUAACAAUAAGGUGCUUGUUUUUAAGUGAAAAGCCCCAUUCUAUGUGUUUCCCGCUGAGCUGGGUGUUGAUUGUCUGCAGGCAGCCCAGCGACCCUGCCGGCCGCUGUCUGUCCUGCUUUUACAAUCAGUCCUGGGGAGCUUUGAAGCAGCAGAAGAUGCCUCUGAGGGUUUAUCUGAAAGGCCUCGUUGUAGUCCGUCUGGUUGUUUUUAGAGCUGGCUGGAAAAGAGAUCUCUCUAGAUACCGUGCUUAGAAAUCAGUAUGCACGCGUGGUUUCCACUGUCUAAUUAAUUCAAAAUGAUCACGAGAAACUUUGUCCUCUCUACGCAAGGCACAGAGAGAGAACAACUUUUGACCUUUAAUCCCAGUUCCUACCCUGACAAAAGUACCCAAUGGCUUUGAGCGCAUCAUUUCAACCCCCCAGCUUCUGCCGGGUGCUGAGGAGCCUGGGGUCCUAAUUAGUCCUUGAGGGGACUGGAGGGGACGUGAACUGGACAGAUCCUGCCUGGGGGACCAGGACUCUGAAGGGGAGGGCAGAGCUGGCGUGCACCCUGGGGCUGCCCAGAGCUGACCCAAUUUUGCAGCACCAUCCUCUCUGCAAACCAUCAGCCUGUCCUUCAAAAUCUCUUCUUUCUAUCUAGUCACCUUGCUCUUCCAUCGCCGCCCGUGGUGGACAUUGGGGUCACUGAGACGGGCGUGCUCCUAUAUUUUAGAUUUUUCUGGCAUCUGUAGUGUAAACACAGCCCAGGUGGAUCCGAGGUUCGUAGGUUUGAAGAACCAUGAACAGAGGGAAGAUGGAGCAUCUGCUUUCCUACGAGCAACAUGCACAAGGGGGCGGCUUCAGUCUAGGACCCCAACGCUUAACUUGUCAUUUUGCCACCUGUUUUCAGACCCCGUCCAAUUUAGACUCUUGAGAGAUUACUAUUUCUAAAGUUAAACAGUCGAUUAAACAGGAUUUGGUUUAGCCCAUCACAGAUGUUAAAGAUUAAACCAGACCGAGGAGGGAAAACAGCCCACAAUGGAGGCACCCGCCCUCAUUAGGACCUGAGCUGGCACUGCCACGCCAUGCGGGAGCUCUUGACACGUUUCCAGCAGGACUCCCACACACCAGUGGCCGUCCUGGCCACUCCAGGAAGACAGGGACACGGACAGUCCCGUCUUCUUCACCCUUGAUGUCAGGGAGGGUGGCAGUGCUCUCUGAGGACAGCCAUUGUUGGCAGAACCCUGGAUGUGAGAAUUUCAUUGUUCUGCCCUGAGUGGCACUGAGUUACCAGAGCUGGGGGGCACAGGGUAAGGUGGGGCUGACCUGCCCCUGUGCCCGGACAAGGGGCUCUUGGAUCCGCCUGGGUGCUCAAAAAUGGCAGGAGUUAAGAAGGCUCCCAGAGAGCCAUGCACCAGGGACGGCUCUGUGCUGGGAGGGGGACCCCAGCAACCAAGAGCACUGGCUGUGCCUGUGGACCCCCGGUGCCCAGGGUCAGGGUGCUGAGCCACUGUCGACAGCGUGGGACAGAGCACAUCCCUCCAUCCCGAGAACCGCUUCUCCUGUCUUCGACUCACGGAGCCUGUUGGAUUGAAAACAAAAUGCCAGAGAGAGUUCCCAGGUUGCUCCUCCAAGGAGCCAAAGAGAACCCAGAAAUGAGAAGAUGUCAGGGGGCCGGCCUGUGGCUGAGUGGUUAAAAGUUCUGUGUACUCUGCUUCGGCAACCCAGGUAUGCGGGUUUGGAUCCUGGGCUCUGACCCACUCCACUCAUCAGCCAUGAUGUGGAGGCAUCUCAUAUACAAAAUAGAGGAAGAUUGGCACAGAUGUUAGCUCAGGGUAAAUCUUCCUCACCGAAAAAGAAAAGAAAGAGAAGAUGCCAGCAGCAGUGGUCUGGGGCCAGGCUCCCAGAAUCGCGACCUCCUCUGCAUCCAGACCCCCCCAUCCAACAAGGGUGGUGGCCUGGGACAAGGUCACUGCAGAGGAGGAACCUGAGCAGGGACCCUGAUCACCUGCCCAGCUGCCCCUCUCCCAGUGCAUCAAACAAGCAAACUCUUAUUCCUGCUCUUCUGGAUGGAAGGAGCAAAAGCAACCCGAGCCAUAAACAUGAACGUGGAGUGAAGGCUGGCAGAAGCUGUAGGGGGGAAUUCGCUUAUUCCAGGGGUGCACAGACCCGCACAUGCACAGCACCUUGGGUAUCGGUCCAAAGCAGCUCUUCAGGGAGGCUCAUCACAUACCAGCUCCAGCCCCACCCUUCACAGCAGCAUGAAUCCAUCCUAGGCUAGUAUUAGCUCUCACAGAAGAAUGGGGAUUUGGGUGAAAUAGUUUGGGUAGAAAAUGAGAACAAAUGGAGACAGGGUCGUGCAAAUGAUCCAGAGCUAGUUUGUUAGUUACAUGCAAGUCCCUGAAGAAAAAAGAUGUAAUUGCAAGAAUGUCUAAAUUGUUACAAUAUAAAUAAAGGAUUUACGAAAACAUCUUCUUCCUCCCGUGCCCCUGCACAGACUUGUUAAUUUGACCGAGAAGUCAAGCAGGAGAAUUCCAGCAGGGUUUUUAGUGGCUCACGGCUUUUAUGGAAAUUCAACAUAAAAUUUCUCGUCCCCAUUUUCCAUUUUGGCACGUAACUUGCCGCUUAAAUC